CCCUUAGAUGUUCUGGGCCGCACGCGCGCUACACUGACGAAUGCAACGAGCUUAUAACCUUGGCCGAAAGGUCUGGGUAAUCUCCAAAUUUCGUCGUGAUGGGGAUAGAUUAUUGCAAUUAUUAAUCUUCAACGAGGAAUGCCUAGUAAGCGCAAGUCAUCAGCUUGCGUUGAUUACGUCCCUGCCCUUUGUACACACCGCCCGUCGCUCCUACCGAUUGAAUGGUCCGGUGAAGCGCUCGGACCGCGGCCUCUUGACGGUUCGCUGUCGAUUGGCUGUGGGAAGUUCGUUAAACCUUAUCGUUUAGAGGAAGGAGAAGUCGUAACA
RNAcentral lists this ribosomal RNA (327 nucleotides) under uncultured eukaryote. RNAcentral describes it as "partial 18S ribosomal RNA". It matches the Rfam family "Eukaryotic small subunit ribosomal RNA", at positions 1470 to 1796 of the family's 1831-position model. The record is from RNAcentral.